Molecule: non-coding RNA, 76 nt
Organism: Podarcis lilfordi (Lilford's wall lizard)
Lineage: Eukaryota; Metazoa; Chordata; Lepidosauria; Squamata; Lacertidae
Source: the annotation of a GenBank genome assembly
GGAAGCACUGUAGCAUCAGUGGUUGAGCACCUGCUUUGCAUGCAGAGGGUCCCAGGUUCAAUUCCUGGCAUUUCCA